Non-coding RNA from Pelobates cultripes (western spadefoot toad), 1615 nucleotides. The record is from the annotation of a GenBank genome assembly. Lineage: Eukaryota; Metazoa; Chordata; Amphibia; Anura; Pelobatidae.
GGUACAGCAAUCACAGUAGCAGGUGGUCCAAAAGGGUAUCCUCCUUUCUUGGUCCUGUUCAGCUGACGGAUAUACACCUUGUCACCGGGCUGGUAUGAAUGAGUAGGUUCCUGUGAAGGUAAGGGAAAACUGCGAAGAAACAUUGUCAUACAUACCAUUCGGUUUUAUCAACAAUUCAUCUUGUGGGGAUAUAUUCUUAUCUCAGCUAAAAUAGCUGGUAGAUAUCUAGUCCAAUUUUCCCAUGUUCCUGGGUAAAUUCUGGGCUUUUCCUUAAUAGUCCUAUUCAUCCUUUCAACUACCCCUGUAUUCUGUGGAUGAUAGGGUAUAUGAAACUGCCAGGUAACUUGCAAGAAUUUAGCAAGUUCCUGGGCAACCCUACUGGCAAAUACCGGGCCAUUAUCAGAGCCAAUCUGCAGAGGGCAGCCAUACCUGGGAAUAAUUUCAGUAACAAUAAUCUUCACUAGCAUCUUCCCUAGAUGUCACAAAGGCCUCAUGCCAUCUACUAAACUGAUUAACUAUGACCAGUAAGUAUUGCUGUUUCUUACCAAUUUUGGAUACAUGAAUAAAAUCAAUCUGUAAGUGUGUAAAAAGAGCAGUGUUCACACGAUCUUACAAAAGACUGUACAUGCUGCCUGAGAUUCCUAAUAUAAAAUGAAUUCAUGAAGAAUUGAAUGGUGCUUGCUAUGUGCCUGACUGAUGAAAAUAAAUCAGCUUGCUUCAAGUAUGCCUAUUCUUCAAGUAUGCCUAUUCUCCCCUCUUUAGAGAACAGAUCAUUCUGAUCUUUCUCUAAACCUUGUUUAAUCCAAAAGACAGAUUCUGGGUAUUAAAAAAAAGAAUCUCAUAACCACUGAAGCGCUGGGCUGUCAUGUGUUGUAUGGUGAUAUUUAUUAUCAGCUGAGUGACCUGGUGACUGGCAUAAAAUAUUGUAGGAUGCCCUAGUGUGAUAGUAGUAGCAGUUUCAACAGCCAUUGCACAUGCUAUCAAUGCUCUGAGACACGCCGGCAUACCCUGUACCGGAGCUCGAACUACUUUGGAAAAGAAUGCUAUGGGACGCAUACCGCCUCCUUGCUCUUGUGCACAGACUGCGGCCAUGGUUUUACAAUUGUCCCAAGCAUACAAAUGAAAUGGUUUACAAUACACAGGUAGUCCUAAAGCCUGGGCUUGCACAAUAACAACUGUAAGGGCAAUAUAUGCAGCUAGCAUGUCUGGUGACCAGCAGACAUUUUCAGGGCUGUCAGAACGUACAGCCUCCCUUAGGAUUGAGUUAUAAUGGGAGCAUUCAGGGAUCCAUUGGCGGCAGUAAUUAAUCAUGCCGAGGAAGGUGAGCAACUCCUUCCGAGUAGUGGGUGUAGGAAUCCUCUGAAUGACCUCAAUACGUUUUGGACUCAAUUGUCUGGUGCCUAAAGCCAGAACAAAACCUAAGUAUUCAACCUUUGAUUUACACAAUUGCAUUUUGUGUUUAACAACCUUGUGACCUACAGUUGCUGACAGUAUCCACAGUGCUUGCCUCAGAGCUAGGGCUACAUAACAACAAAUCAUCAACAUUUUGCAAAAAGGACGGAACCAUGACCGGUGGUCCAUGUUUUUUAGAGUAUGUUAGAGUACCAACGAAUAA